GACAGAGGGGGCAAGCGUUGUUCGGAAUCACUGGGCGUAAAGCGCACGUAGGCGGACUUUUAAGUCAGGGGUGAAAGCCUGAGGCUCAACCUCAGAACUGCCCUUGAUACUGGGAGUCUUGAGUAUGGUAGAGGUUGGUGGAACAGCAAGUGUAGAGGUGAAAUUCGUAGAUAUUUGCUAGAACACCAGUGGCGAAGGCGGCCAACUGGACCAUAACUGACGCUGAGGUGCGAAAGCGUGGGGAGCAAACAGG
Molecule: ribosomal RNA, 253 nt
Filed under: uncultured bacterium
Lineage: Bacteria
Description: partial 16S ribosomal RNA
Rfam family: Bacterial small subunit ribosomal RNA
Source: RNAcentral